Molecule: long non-coding RNA, 1058 nt
Filed under: Gossypium raimondii (Peruvian cotton)
Lineage: Eukaryota; Viridiplantae; Streptophyta; Magnoliopsida; Malvales; Malvaceae
Description: long non-coding RNA (GRAI_LNC011194)
Source: RNAcentral
CCCGUCUUUAUGCGCAUCAUUUUCCGCAGGACUGGAUUGGAACAAGCGAAAAAUUAUGUGGCCAAAAUUAAAAUGCACAAAAGGCAACAUUGAAUAUGCCGCAGGAUUUGGAGGGACCAAAGGCGCAAAUUACCCAUCAGGGCAAGCAUGCGCAGGUCUCCCCUCCUUCAAACGGCGCCGUUUAACUGCUAAUAUAAACCAAAGUAUUUUUUUUUUCACUUCACUUUUUCAGAUUUUCUAAAAAAACUGAAGGAGCCUCAAUUUUUUCUCAACACCCUCCCCUACAUUCGGCCUAGGCCUUCUCUAAGCCACCGUCGCGCCGCCGCCGCCGUGGCCAACGGCCGACGGCGAAAAAAAUGGGUUUUUUAACCUUCCCUUCGCAGCGUGCUAGAAGGUUGGCCUCUAUCAACCCGCAGGACCGAAAAAGGUCUUUAGUCCCCAACUUUCGGCUCCGACGACGGCGAAGAGAGCACCGACGCCGGGCUUGCAAGGCGACGAGGUACGCUUCUUCUCCCCUCUCUUUUUAUUUCAAUAUUUAGUAUAAAAAACGAAAAUAAAAGAAAUAAAAAUAAAAUAAGUACAAGAACCGAAAAAAGGUUUUUCCUUUUGAAAUUUUCUCUGUUUUUCUUGUUUUUUAUUUAGAUCUUCGUAAAAAAGAAGAAGCUUACAAGGAAGAGAUUUUCGGCUUUUAUAGCCGAUCUACACAACUUUUAAUUUCUAUUUCUUUGUCUUUUUGCUAUUUGUUUCUUCUGUUGUUGCGUGCCUUUUGCAUUCAAUUUUUGCAGGUGUCAGAGCAUGCGGAGGAAAGGCGGCUAGGAGCGGCGGUAGCCAGGCAUGGCAGAGGAGGCGAAACGGCGUUGGGGCUGGAGCCUGGGCAUGCGGCGCAUGGAGGCUUGGGGGCUAGGGUUUGGUACUGCUGAAUGGGGUUAAUUUUUGGGCUAGGGUUUCUUAAUUUGGGCCUGUUGGGUAUUUUGGGCCACUGUUUAUUUUGGACUGUAUGUUUUUUUUGCUGGUAUUGGGCUUUAGUGUUUUGGGCCCCGGGCAAAAUGGCUCUUACA